UCUUCUUCCUGCCCUGCCAUACCCUUGGAUUGCUUCUCCUCUGUGAUGCCCCUCUGCCAUGCCACUCUGCCUCACCCAGCCCACCAUGAACUGAAACCUCUACAAACUACCCAGGGAUGAACUCGCCUGUGAGACAAACUCGGAGUAAGAGAGACAGCACAUGGAUCUCCCAGGAUGACUUCUGGACUUGGACGAGGGACACUGGUGUUGAGCUCAAAAUGUUUUCUCUCUCUCUUUUCCUUUUCAC
Non-coding RNA from Heterocephalus glaber (naked mole-rat), 247 nucleotides. The record is from RefSeq and is a predicted model, not a curated record. Lineage: Eukaryota; Metazoa; Chordata; Mammalia; Rodentia; Bathyergidae.